This 192-nucleotide non-coding RNA is filed under the name Lentisphaerota bacterium. Lineage: Bacteria; Pseudomonadati; Lentisphaerota. The record is from RNAcentral.
GUUUAAACUGCAUGUACAGGUUGUUCCGGGACAAAAGUCCCGCGAGCCAAAAGGGAAAUCCCGAUAAUGGGUACGGACCCGCCGCUGUAACCGGGAACGAAAACUGCAAAUGCCACUGUUCAAAUGAACGGGAAGGCGCGGUGAGUAGAAAGAUCCGGAAGUCAGAAGACCUGCCUGUAUAUGUCCGCCAGA